GUCAAAAAAAAUAAAUAAAUAAAAAAUUGGAAUGAUACAGAGAUUAGCACGGCCCCUGCGCAGAUGACACGCAAAUUCGUGAAGCAUUCCAUAUUUUU
This is a small nuclear RNA of Oryctolagus cuniculus (rabbit), 98 nucleotides long. NCBI's taxonomy places the organism in Eukaryota, Metazoa, Chordata, Mammalia, Lagomorpha, Leporidae. The record is from Ensembl.